GUGCAGUAACAUGCACUGGAGGACCGAACCCACGUAUGUUGAAAAAUGCGGGGAUGACUUGUGUCUAGGGGUGAAAGGCCAAUCAAACCUGGAAAUAGCUGGUUCUCCGCGAAAUCUAUUUAGGUAGAGCGUCACGUGAAUACCCUCGGGGGUAGAGCACUGGAUGGGCUAGGGGGACUCACCGUCUUACCAAACCUAACCAAACUCCGAAUACCGAUGAGUAAUAUCUGGCAGACACACUACGGGUGCUAAGGUCCGUAGUGGAAAGGGAAACAGCCCUGACCGCCAGCUAAGGUCCCUAAGUUAUGGCUAAGUGGGAAAGGAUGUGAGAGUGCAUAGACAACCAGGAUGUUGGCUUAGAAGCAGCCAUCAUUUAAAGAAAGCGUAACAGCUCACUGGUCUAAAUAAGGGUUCUCGCGCCGAAAAUGUACCGGGGCUAAAGCCAUGCACCGAAGAUGCGGAUGUACACUUUUAGUGUACGUGGUAGCGGAGCGUUCCGUAAGUCUGUGAAGGGUGACCCGCGAGGGCACCUGGAGAUAUCGGAAGUGAGAAUGCUGACAUGAGUAGCGACAAAGA
RNAcentral lists this ribosomal RNA (576 nucleotides) under Isochrysis galbana. RNAcentral describes it as "partial Bacterial large subunit ribosomal RNA". It matches the Rfam family "Bacterial large subunit ribosomal RNA", at positions 751 to 1318 of the family's 2925-position model. Lineage: Eukaryota; Haptophyta; Isochrysidales; Isochrysidaceae. The record is from RNAcentral.